RNAcentral lists this ribosomal RNA (383 nucleotides) under Andinosaura hyposticta. RNAcentral's name for it is "partial 12S ribosomal RNA". It matches the Rfam family "Bacterial small subunit ribosomal RNA", at positions 840 to 1389 of the family's 1533-position model. Lineage: Eukaryota; Metazoa; Chordata; Lepidosauria; Squamata; Gymnophthalmidae. The record is from RNAcentral.
GCCUGGGCACAAACCAAUUAUWUUAUUCGCCGGAAGAUUACGGGUGAAAACCUAAAACUCAAAAGACUUGACGGUGUCACAACCUACCUAGAGGAGCCUGUUCCAUAAUCGACAACCCACGAUAAACCUAACCACCCCUAGACCCCAAUAAAUCAGCCUAUAUACCGCCGUCGCCAGCCCACCUUUCAAAAGCUUUAAAGUGAGCUAAACAGUAUAAUACUAAUAAGUCAGGUCAAGGUGUAGCUCAUGGGGUGGAGGAAAUGGACUACAUUAUUUAUACUAAAUAUACGAAUUAUCUUUAUGAAACAAAAGAAUGAAGGUGGAUUUAGCAGUAAUUUAAACAAGAAUAUUUAAAUUAAUAUUAGCUCUGAGACAUGUACACA